AGCGAACGCUGGCGGCAGGCCUAACACAUGCAAGUCGAACGAACCCUUCGGGGUUAGUGGCGGACGGGUGAGUAACACGUGGGAACGUGCCUUUAGGUUCGGAAUAACUCAGGGAAACUUGUGCUAAUACCGAAUGUGCCCUUCGGGGGAAAGAUUAAUCGCCUUUAGAGCGGCCCGCGUCUGAUUAGCUAGUUGGUUGAGGUAAUGGCUCACCAAGGCGACGAUCAGUAGCUGGUCUGAGAGGAUGAUCAGCCACAUUGGGACUGAGACACGGCCCAAACUCCUACGGGAGGCAGCAGUGGGGAAUCUUGCGCAAUGGGCGAAAGCCUGACGCAGCCAUGCCGCGUGAAUGAUGAAGGUCCUAGGAUUGUAAAAUUCUUUCACCGGGGACGAUAAUGACGGUACCCGGAGAAGAAGCCCCGGCUAACUUCGUG
Molecule: ribosomal RNA, 434 nt
Filed under: uncultured bacterium
Lineage: Bacteria
Description: partial 16S ribosomal RNA
Rfam family: Bacterial small subunit ribosomal RNA
Source: RNAcentral